UAGGGAAUCUUCGGCAAUGGACGGAAGUCUGACCGAGCAACGCCGCGUGAGUGAAGAAGGUUUUCGGAUCGUAAAGCUCUGUUGUAAGAGAAGAACGAGUGUGAGAGUGGAAAGUUCACACUGUGACGGUAUCUUACCAGAAAGGGACGGCUAACUACGUGCCAGCAGCCGCGGUAAUACGUAGGUCCCGAGCGUUGUCCGGAUUUAUUGGGCGUAAAGCGAGCGCAGGCGGCUAGAUAAGUCUGAAGUUAAAGGCUGUGGCUUAACCAUAGUAGGCUUUGGAAACUGUUUAACUUGAGUGCAAGAGGGGAGAGUGGAAUUCCAUGUGUAGCGGUGAAAUGCGUAGAUAUAUGGAGGAACACCGGUGGCGAAAGCGGCUCUCUGGCUUGUAACUGACGCUGAGGCUCGAAAGCGUGGGGAGCAAACAGGAUUAGAUACCCUGGUAGUCCACGCUGUAAACGAUGAGUGCUAGGUGUUAGACCCUUUCCGGGGUUUAGUGCCGUAGCUAACGCAUUAAGCACUCCGCCUGGGGAGUACGACCGCAAGGUUG
Molecule: ribosomal RNA, 550 nt
Filed under: uncultured bacterium
Lineage: Bacteria
Description: bacterial SSU rRNA
Rfam family: Bacterial small subunit ribosomal RNA
Source: RNAcentral